AAAGAAAGAGUUGUAUACGAUGCAACCAGAAGGUUUUGUCAAUCCUAAAGGUGCUAACAAAAUAAGCAAGCUCCAGCGAUCCAUCUAUGGACUGGUGCAAGCAUCUCGGAGUUGGAAUAAACGCUUUGAUAGUAUGAUCAAAGCAUAUAGAUUUAUACAGACUUGCGGUGAAGCCUGUAUUUACAAGAAAGUGAGUGGGAGCACUACAACAUUUCUGAUAAGUAUAUAUGAAUGACAUAUUGUUGAUCGGAAAUAAUGUAGAAUUAUUCUACAAAGCAUAAAGGAGUGUUUGAAAGGAGUUUUUCAAAGAAAGACCUCGGUGAAGCUGCUUACAUAUUGAGCAUCAAGAUCUAUAGAGAUAGAUCAAGAUGCUUGAUAAGUUUUUUUCAAUGAGUACAUACCUUGACAAGAUUUUGAAGUAGUUCAAAAUAGAACAGUCAUAGAAAGGGUUCUUACCUGUGUUAUAAGGUAUGAAAUUGAGUAAGACUCAAAGCCCGACCACGGCAGAAGAUAGAAAGAGAAUGAAAGUCAUUCCCUAUGCCUCAGCCAUAGGUUCUAUAAAGUAUGCCAUGCUGUGUACCAGAUCUAUUGUAUACCCUACACUGAUUUUGGCAAGGGAGUACAAUAGUGAUCUAGGAGUAGAUCACUGGACAGCGGUCAAAAUUAUCCUUAGCGGAAUAAGGAUAUGUUUCUCGAUUAUGGAGGUGACAAAAGGUUCGUUGUAAAGAGUUACAUCGAUGCAAGUUUUGACACUGAUCUAGAUAACUUUAAGUAUCAAUCUGGAUACAUACUGAAAGUGGGAGCAAUUAGUUAGAGUAGCUCCGUGCAGAGCAUUGUUGACAUAGCUAUUUGUAAAAUACAUACGGAUCUGAAUAUGGCAAACCCGUUGACUAAAAUUCUCUCACAAGCAAAACAUGAUCACACCUUAGUACUCUUUGGGUGUUAAUCACAUAGCGAUGUGAACUAGAUUACUGAAUCUAGUAAACCCUUUGGGUGUUGGUCACAUGGCGAUAUGAACUAUGGGUGUUAAUCACAUGAUGAUGUGAACUAUCGAUGUUAAUCACAUGGUGAUGUGAUCUAGAUUAUUGAAUCUAGUGCAAGUGGGAGACUGAAGGAAAUAUGCCCUAGAGGCAAUAAUAAAGUUAUUAUUUAUUUCCUUAUAUCAUGAUAAAAGUUUAUUAUUCAUGCUAGAAUUGUAUUAACCGGAAACAUAAUACAUGUGUGAAUACAUAGACAAAGAGAGUGUCACUAGUAUGCCUCUACUUGAUUAGCUCGUUAAUCAAAGAUGGUUAUGUUUCCUAACCAUGGACAAAGAGUUGUCAUUUGAUUAACGGGAUCACAUCAUUAGUUGAAUGAUCUGAUUGACAUGACCCAUUCCAUUAGCUUAGCACCCGAUCGUUUAGUAUGUUGCUAUUGCUUUCUUCAUGACUUAUACAUGUUCCUAUGACUAUGAGAUUAUGCAACUCCCGUUUGCCGGAGGAACACUUUGUGUGCUACCAAACGUCACAACGUAACUGGAUGAUUAUAAAGGAGCUCUACAGGUGUCUCCAAAGGUACAUGUUGGGUUGCCGUAUUUUGAGAUUAGGAUUUGUCACUCCGAUUAUCGGAGAGGUAUCUCUCGGCCCUCUUGGUAAUGCACAUCACUUAAGCCUUGCAAGCAUUGCAACUAAUGAGUUAGUUGCGGGAUGAUGUAUUACGGAACGAGUAAAGAGACUUGCCGGUAACGAGAUUGAACUAGGUAUGGGAUACUGACGAUCGAAUCUCGGGCAAGUAACAUACCGAUGACAAAGGGAACAACGUAUGUUGUUAUGCGGUCUGACCGAUAAAAGAUCUUCGUAGAAUAUGUAGGAGCCAAUAUGAGCAUCCAGGUUCCGCUAUUGGUUAUUGACCGGAGACGUGUCUCGGUCAUGUCUACAUUGUUCUCAAACCUGUAGGGUCCGCACGCUUAAGGUUACGAUGACAGUUAUAUUAUGAGUUUAUGCAUUUUGAUGUACCGAAGAUUGUUCAUAGUCCUGGAUGUGAUGACGGACAUGACGAGGAGUCUCGAAAUGGUCGAGACAUAAAGAUUGAUAUAUUAGAAGCCUAUGUUUGGAUAUCGGAAGUGUUCCGAAUGAAAUCGGGAUUUUACCGGAGUACCGGGAGGUUACCGGAACCCCCCGGGAGGUAUAUGGGCCUUAGUGGGCCUUAGUGGGAGAUAGGAGAGGUGGCCAGGGAUGGGCCGCGCGCCCCUCCCCCCCUUAGUCCGAAUAGGACAAGGAGAGAGGGGGCCGGCGCCCCCCUUCCUUCUCUCUCUCUUUCCCCCCUUCACGAAUCCUAUUCUAACUAGGAAAGGGGGGAGUCCUACUCCCGGAAGGAGUAGGACUCCUCCUGGCGCGCCACCUCUUGGCCGGCCAGCCCCCCCCCUUUGAGCCUUUAUAUACGGAGGCACGGGGCACCCCUAGAGACACAAGUUGAUCCACGUGAUCAUAUUCUUAGCCGUGUGCGGUGCCCCCUUCCACCAUAGAUCUCGAUAAUAUUGUAGCAGUGCUUAGGCGAAGCCCUGCGAUGGUGGUACAUCAAGAUCGUCACCACGCCGUCAUGCUGACGGAACUCUUCCCCGACACUUUGCUGGAUAGGAGUCCGGGGAUCGUCAUCGAGCUGAACGUGUGCUAGAACUCGGAGGUGCCGUAGUUUCGGUGCUUGAUCGAUCGGGCCGUGGAGACGUACGACUACAUCAACCAAGUUAACGCUUCCGUUGUCGAUCUACAAGGGUACGUAGAUCACACUCUCCCCCUCUCGUUGAUAUGCAUCACCAUGAUCUUGCGUGUGCGUAGGAAAUUUUUUGAAAUUNNNNNNNNNNNNNNNNNNNNNNNNNNNNNNNNNNNNNNNNNNNNNNNNNNNNNNNNNNNNNNNNNNNNNNNNNNNNNNNNNNNNNNNNNNNNNNNNNNNNNNNNNNNNNNNNNNNNNNNNNNNNNNNNNNNNNNNNNNNNNNNNNNNNNNNNNNNNNNNNNNNNNNNNNNNNNNNNNNNNNNNNNNNNNNNNNNNNNNNNNNNNNNNNNNNNNNNNNNNNNNNNNNNNNNNNNNNNNNNNNNNNNNNNNNNNNNNNNNNNNNNNNNNNNNNNNNNNNNNNNNNNNNNNNNNNNNNNNNNNNNNNNNNNNNNNNNNNNNNNNNNNNNNNNNNNNNNNNNNNNNNNCUCAUUUAAGCACCCAUGCAUUGGAAAGAAGCCUUACAUUGUUGGCUACUUUACAACAAGCAUUUCACCAUCACCAUUGGCCAUUAGCAAUAAGUGCGUUAGAUCCUACCUUACUUGCUUAGGGGAUCAUUGUAGGGGCACAUGUGCUUGUAUUUUUUUUACAUAUGUUCCGACUUCCAGACGGUUUUCUUUCAGUGCUAUAAUAUGCAUGUCGAUUAUGAGGUGUCUAUUUCAAAAUCUACCAGAUCAGGUGCUCCAUUUUCUAGAAGUAAUCCAGACUGUAUGGGCGCUAUUCUUUUAGUAUUAUGAUGUGCCCAUCAAUUAGGAAAUGCAUGUGGAAACUUUAUAAAUCUCAAGAUCUAUUUACUAGUAUUUUUUUUUUGCUUGGCAAUAUGUGUCCCAUUUUCACAUAAUAAAGGCCAAGUUACAAGCCACGUAUAGUUCCAAAUAACGGAGAUAGCACGCAAUAGCGCUAGCGCAAUAGUGUGUCCGGUACUACUCAAAUUAAAUGUCAGUAUUUUUUGUUAAUGAUAUAUAAAUAUACACAAUAAUAUAGUGUUUUUACAAAUCCGCUACGUGGACAUAGCGCCCGCAAUAUCGCCCGCUAUCCGCAUUCCGCUACGCAGACCCCAAUCCGCUAUUUAAAACCAGUCAAAACUGAAAAUGCUCAUAAUGGUAGGGAGUAUGUUCACAUACGUAAACAUAUGUAUUUGUACUGUGUUUCAAAAGAACAUGAUCUUUAUAUUUUCGGGUAUGCCACCAACUUAGAGUCAUGGAUAGAAGUACCUCGGAUGGUCUUCUUUUUUGAGCCUUGCUAUAUAUUUUUUAGCCUAAGUAACUCGAACGGUCAGUUUUCAGCAAAUUACCCAGUUCGUGCUUCGCUGCGUUUUACAGAAGUGUUUGCAGGACUGGAUCAAGUCGUGCCAUUAGAAGAACCGGUCCUAAUGGCCAUUAGAAGUGUUGCUAAGAUUUUUAAUGCACUUAGCACCUCAUCUAAGCACCUAUGCAUUGGAAAGAAGCCUUACAUUGUUGGCUACUUUACAACAAGCAUUUCAUCAUCACCAUUGGUCAUUAGCAAUAAAUGCGUUAGAUCCUACCUUACUUGCUUAGGGGAUCAUUGUAGGGGCACAUGUGCUUGUAUUUUUUUUAGAUAUGUUCCGACUUCCAGACGGUUUUCUUUCAGUUCUAUAAUAUGCAUGUCGAUUAUGAGGUGUCUAUUUCAAAAUCUACCAGACCAGGUGCUCCAUUUUCUAGAAGUAAUCCAGACUUUAUGGGCGCUAUUCUUUUAGUAUUAUGAUGUGCCCAUCAAUUAGGAAAUGCAUGUGGAAACUUUAUAAAUCUCAAGAUCUAUUUACUAGUAUAUUUUUUGCUUGGCAAUAUGUGUCCCAUUUUCACAUAAUAAAGGCCAAGUUACAAGCCACGUAUAGUUCCAAAUAACGGAGAUAGCACGCAAUAGCGCUAGCGCAAUAGUGUUCGGUACUACUCAAAUUAAAUGUCAGUACUUUUUGUUAAUGAUAUAUAAAUAUACACAAUAAUAUAGUGUUUUUACAAAUCCGCUACAUGGACAUAGCGCCCGCAAUAUCGCCCGCUAUCCGCAUUCCGCUACGCAGACCCCAAUCCGCUAUUUAAAACCAGUCAAAACUGAAAAUGCUCAUAAUGGUAGGGAGUAUGUUCACAUACGUAAACAUAUGUAUUUGUACUGUGUUUCAAAAGAACAUGAUCUUUAUAUUUUCGGGUAUGCCACCAACUUAGAGUCAUGGAUAGAAGUACCUCGGAUGGUCUUCUUUUUUGAGCCUUGCUAUAUUUUUUUUUAGCCUAAGUAACUUGAACGGUCAGUUUUCAGCAAAUUACCCAGUUCGUGCUUCGCUGCGUUUUACAGAAGUGUUUGCAGGACUGGAUCAAGUCGUGCCAUUAGGAGAACCGAUCCAAAGUUGUCAAUGCAGACCUGCUGAAAUUACAGCAAGGACUCCGUGGCCCAAUGGAUAAGGCGCUGGUCUACGAAACCAGAGAUUCUGGGUUCGAUCCCCAGCGGAGUCGGUUUUGUACUUUUUUGUUUUGCACAUUCUUAUUUUUACAUAAAAAAACCUACCGAGCGUGCUUCGAAGCUCCUGCGACGAACAUUUUGUUUUACCCACGGUUUCCCCGAGUCUCUCUCCCAUAGUCACUGGCCUUGCGCAGCACUUGUUUCGAGAAUUACUUGUCCCGUUCUCCGGUCCACCGCCCACACCGGCUUGCCUGAGCAAAUACGACCCCCUGUAUGUUCACGGAUGUGAAGCCGGUCACCCCUUGUUUAUCCACGGUUGCAACCACAUCCCACAUCUGCAAAUCCUCGUUCUCAUGCUGCUUCGUGCAACGUUUGUUUGGUCGCACCUACACCAUGUAUGAAACACACAAGCUAUGUUCAAAAGGCAAGAUAUCCUAGAACUACUCGCCGUCGUCGAAGAUGUGGAUGACUCUCUUGCUGGAGCCGCCAACCUCGUGGUCAGGCGGCAUGGCGAAUCUCCGGCGUUUCCUCCUCCCCGUCAUUGUCCGCAAAGAGCCGCUCCUGCCUCACUUCGCGCAAGUGGAUAAGGCGGCGACUCGCCGCCACCUCCCGCUCGGACUAAAGCGAGCCGAGGAUGGCUUGGUUUUCGACCACAGGGCCGAGAUCGACGACGAGCGUCACGCGGGCGGCAGCACCCGCUUGCUUCGCGCUCCAACCGUUCCGCCUCCGCCUCCUCCAUGCGCGGCGCCUGCUCCUCCAUGCCCUCCAUGCCGACGCAAUGCGACAUGACGUUACUUGACAACGCCCAUCUCGGCCGCUAUCUCUGCCCAACGCUCCGGCUUCUGUCGAACCAUGACUGAUGGCAAGGGUCGGAGCGGAAGGGGGCACAUACGGGGAAGCAAUGGCGGCGGGGACGAGAGGAAAGUGGGUGGGAUGUGGCAGCUAGGGUUUGCCCUCGCCGUUCAGCUUAAAUAGCUAGGUUCUUGGCUCCUCGGAUGACGCACCGACCCACGCCAUGAAUGCGGCCACCAAAUUGAUGACCUCCCUUGACGGACCAAAGUAUUUUCGCGUCCGUCUGUCAAUGCGACAUGACGGAUGCGUCCAAAUAGACUCAAAUCCGUCCCAUAUAUGGAUUGUGUUCGAAAGGUGCCGGACAGUCCGGACAUAUGGGUUAGAUGAUCACAACAGCAGGUAGCAUGUAUCACGAGCGAACAAUCUUCCAUGAUUAUACACAAGUCCAGCAAGUCCCAGAUUCCGGUUAGUAACAACUUACCUCGGCGCGGCGGCGGUCGGCGUCGGUCACUUCCCGAAGCUGCUCCUGCACUUCUGCGACGAAAUGUGCACGUGCUUCCCUAGCCCCGCCGUUCUCAUCUCGCACGCCACGGCCAGCCUCUUGGCCGCGAACGCGAGCGCGCCCACGUGCACCUGCACGGGGAACUCCACGGCGAGCUCCAGCGCCACGGCCUCCUUCUUGGACCCCCCGAGCGCCUUCUCCACCGCCUUGGGUGUCGCGUGGCCGCCGCCGCCGCGCAGCAGCACGCUGAAGUCCUUGGCGUCCACGCCGCCGUCCUCUGGCGUGCCCACGUCCGCGGCCUUGGCCAGGGCCGUGCCCCGGUGCAGCAGCCUGGCCGCGCCCCCGUCCUUGUACCACAGCGCGGUCACCUUGUUGGGGUUGACCGCCGUGAGGAAGAAGUCGUAGUCCACCUCCGCGUGGCGCUGCGCCGACGCGUUGCGCACGGAGAGCCUGUUCACGGAGAAGCUCGGCGGGGCCGGCCGCAUCACCACGACGGAGAGCCAGACGCUGGCGCCCAGGAGCAGCACCGCGGCGGCCGCCAGGGCGAGCGUGAGCAGGAGGGGCGUGGAGCACGCGGAGCCGCCGCCGCUCUUGCCGCCGCCGGCGCGCUCCGCGCGGUACCGCUCGGCGAGGUAGGCGUUCUCGGGAGGCGGCACGCGGUAUAUCUGGUCCUUCUGGACCUUGACGACGUACGUCUCGUGCGGCGGGGCCCUGAGCUGGGCGAGGGCGGCGGAGGCCUGCUCGGGCACGGGCGGCGGGAGCGCCCUCUCCGCCAUGGAAGGAAAGAGGACGGCGAGGUGCGAGGGGGCGGGAGGGAGCUGGCGGAGGACGUCGCAUGAGGCGGGCGGAGGGCACGAUUUGGAGGGAAACCGGGGGGAGCGCCCGUGCGCGCCACGGUUUUGGCGACAUGCCUAUUGUUGGCGGGUGGCACGCACCACCGCUCAAGGCUCGUCGCAACGGCCGUCGCGCCCUGAUCGUAUUGUUUCUCGCGAAUUUGCUAGUUUCUCAUCAAAUGGAGAUUAUGUUUUGCGACUGAUAAUGAGAAUUAGCAAAGUCUAUCUAGCGAGGAUUAACAAAGUCUAUCUAAUUUAUAUGUCAUUGAUUUUACGUAGAGGUUCAUGUUAUUUCUCUUCUUCUUUGCACUCCCUGUUAUUCUGUUUGAUUGAGUGAGAUAUACCUAGAUAGACACCUUCUUUUAUUUUAUACUACUAGUAGAGGUCAUCUGAGAUCGGUGUGUCACAAAUGAAAUGCCCGAGUGUUCCAAAAUCAUGCGUCGAUGCCAACAAUCAUUUUUGCCAAGAGUCGGAAAGCAACGGAAAGAUCGGCCCCUUACGUAAUCUGCGUAUAACAAAUCUCUCGCGGCCUCUGAAUUCAAUUGGAUGGCCCCCCUUCCUAAUUUCCUCCAAAAAAACUUAAGAAUCUCCAAUGGCAACCCGCAGAUUUCCUCCCGCAUCCAUCCACGGAUACGAAUGCGGGAGGCCUCCAUCCAACGUUGUCCGCAUAUAUUUCAAUCCGUAUUUAGACAAACCGAAUGAAAUUCAUGCAAACCGACUAAUAUUCAUUAAAGUUCGGAUAGAAAAUAGCACAAAUCACUCAUACAUAGCAUGCAAAUUAAGCCUGGUACAACAAUGUCUCAAAUUCGACUAGAUUCCGUAUGUCCAACAAGUUUUUCAUCAACGGAUCAUGUUGUUCCACACAUACUUUCCCUUCAGCUUCAUCCAACAUUGUGUGCACGUAAAUGACCGUCCCUUCGUAUUGUGGUGCACCACGCAGUGCGUGCGGGCUACAUAUAAUGCGUAGACCAAACCAACAUUGAGUGAAUGAAUCAAUCAAUAAGUUGAGCAAGAGGAAGCAAAAGUUACGUCUCGUCCUCUGCCCCGUGCAAUGGUCACAUUGUCUCGAGCUGACGAACCACGUCACAAAACAUGAUGACGUUGGUCUGGAUAGUGUACCAACAAUACGAUAACGAACUCACGUUUGAGCUGUUGAAUGAUGAACAUGUUGUAGGUUGCAAUGUGAUUUUGUGCACGAAACUUUUCAUGCACUUGCUGCCAUAAGGUCACCCCUCUUCUCCUGCCUACGAAUUCCGCGGAUACGGCCAACCACGCAUCGCACAACAACUCAUCCUCCAUGAUCGAGUAGCUCACCAUCCUUCGUACUCUAAAAAACUACAUAACAUUUGAAAAAAAAUCAAUGGCAUUUGACCAAACACCUGUCGUGCGUGGUGUUCGCCAUGGAGGUCGUCGACGGCGGGGCGGAGCGUAUCUGGGUAGAAACGACUUCAAUGUGGACAACUCCGUUGUAAAGGCGAGCGGGCGCGUCGGUGCUGGUUGCGGACGUCCGACAAUGCCUCUAUGACGGCCGGAGACGUACAAUAAUGACGGCGGAGGUCGAGGGUGCGGAUACAAAGUAAGGAGGAGAAGGGGCAAAGUGAAAGGAAAUGGGACUGAGAGGGAGGAUUGGGUGGGCCGUGGGUGUCACAAUCCUACGUACUGUCCGGACUCCCGCAAAUCUCCUCUUAUUUUGUCUCCCAUUUGCAGGAGAAAAUACGUCCAGACCGCGGCGCGGACCGACACAUACCCAUGUUGAAUGACUUUCACGAUCCGAACGCAUGCGGGCGGUUUGCGUAUCCACGUUAAAGAUGCCCUUGCAUAGAUGUAGCAUUGCUCCCCCGUAUAUCCUCCCCUGGCUCUUCCGGAAAUGUGGCAGAGAUUCUAUCCUCGUUUAAAGAAAAACUCUCACAAUAUGUUUGAAGAAAAAUAUUACUACUACUGUAGUACUGUGGUGAAUUUUAACCAUUGUAUACCACUCCACUAAUCCCACUCGCCAAACGUUCUCAACUGACGAAUCGAAUGCCCUUCAUGGAUGGCAAUUAACAUCCAUUAACUGCACUAAAAGAAAAAAUAUUCUUGCUGCAAUGAAGUAGACCCUCUAAUGAAAAAUCAAUGCUGGUGUGCAGAACUGGAAACGCGCGAUGUGACUUGGUCAGUGGUGCAUGAAGACGAAGGAUCGCAUGGCUAGCAAGCAUGGAGGAAAUAUUUCCUUAAAAUAGUUGGGUGGGUCUCUUAGCCUGUCACAUUUUUAAUUCCCGGAAAAAAUGCACGUACUAAAGUAGCUAAACUUGUACCUUCGCCGCAUAAUCUCUACUAGCUCGUUGCCAAAAAAAUAAAAAUAAAAAAGUCAUGUACUUGGGCAGAGACUGCGUGAACGAUUGUCCAUCUGGUGCACUGAGCAGAGCUGUUGGAGUCGCCACACGGGCAAGUCUCUGCUCUCCUUUUCCUCGUCUGGAUUAGCCAACAGCCAAGUGUCAUAUCUGUCUCUUUCUACUCUUUAUUUUAUUUAUAGCAAGGGAGAGCAGUUUAGCCCACUUGCUCCUUGCACUUUUGUUUGGCGGGCAUGUAAAAAAGUACUCCCUCCGUAAACUAAUAUAAGAGCAUUUAGAACACUACUUUAGUAAUCUAAACGCUCUUAUAUUAGUUUACAGAGGGAGUAGAUAGUUUUUUUAAGUCGGCCUCUAAGAAUCUUGAUUCAUUAGAAAAGAAGAGGAUUGCUCGAUUAAUUAAUGAAAAACCAGUCCCGUAAUUUUUUGUAAUGAAAAACCAGGCUAAAACCGUCUCCGUAGCCCAAAGAAGGCAACACCGGGCAACGUGGACACCCACGCGAAGAUACAACAAUGCUGUAGAGAAGAAGCACAAAACCAAGGUCGUCACCAAGCCGAGUAGAUAGCUUCUUUUGUACUCCCUUAGAAUGUUUCUUCUUAAGCCUCUCUACAAAUUCCCUCAUUACCAUAGAGUGGCCAGCGGAACUAAAGAAAGACAAUGUCAUUGUUGUCGAAGUAUAAAAAGAAACACUGGUUGAUAAAACGGUUACCUUUUGCAAAAAUGAUAUUCUAAAUGCUCAGCAUCCAACAUGUUGGCCAACUUUGAGGUUACGUGAUGAAACAAAGAACUCAAGUCCACUUGAGAAAACAUUAUUUUCAACCCCAAAAAAUAUAUAAUAGCCAAUUUCAACUAAAAAACUAUAUGAACGCUUCAUGGCAAGUCAAGCUCAUAAAUUUAAGAUAUUUCGACACGAAAAGAGACCAAUAUCAUUCACUCGUGCGCGAGGGCUGGUUUUGCGCGCCCACCAUCACAUGCUGGUUAUGUUUUUCACGUGUUAUGUCUAUAUGUAAUUGGUUUCUUCUAGUUUAUCGCAGGCAACACGGAUUGAGUGAAGUAAAUGUGUUGGGUUUUUAUUUUGUUUGAUUUUCUUCCCGCGUGUUGUAAUUUGGACUUUUGGUAAACAAUGAUGUGGCUUUGUUAGCAGUGGGGUGUCUUUUGGUCUAUGUUUCCUUAAGUUUGCACUGGAUAAUCAAGUACUUUUUGUUCGGUAUUCACGAUACCGUAGAACUGGACCUUAAAAGCCUUGGAGAAAAAAGAUUGCGCACAAGAUACCAAGUUUUUACCAUUACAUCAUCAAAACUGUAGUGACACACUUAAGAUAAGUAGAUAACUCCCAUCUUCGAACUACCAUCCUUAGUAUCAUACCUAGUUUUCACGUUAGAAUGAUUCUUCUUAGCCUCUCUACAAAUCCCGCCGUUCCCAGGAGUGCAACCAAAACUGAAGAAAGACAAUGCCAUUGUUGUCUAAGUACAAGAAGAAACACCGGUUGACAAAAGCACUUACUUUUCGCAAAAAGGAUAUUCUAACUGUUUAGCAUCCAACUGGUUGGUGAGCUUUUGAGGUUACGUGAACGAAAACAUUCAACUCCACUUGAGGAAACAUUAUUUUUUACCCCCAAAACCAAAAAAAGCUUUCAACUAUAAAAACUACGUAAAAUCAAUGUGCAACAUUUUCAUGGCAAGUUAAACUCAGAAAUCCAAAUCAUUUCAACACAAAAAGAGACCAAUAACAUUCACUCGUGUGCGUGCACGAGUAUUACGUUGCGGUUUCUUCUAGUCUAUUGUAGGUAACACGGAUUGAGUGAAGUAAACGUGUCGGGCUUUCAGUUUUGUUUUUUUGUUUUGUUUUGUCUGCUUUACUUCUGUUGUCUGGCAAUUUGGACUUUCCGUAAACAAUAAUGUGGGUUUGCUAGCAGUAGGGUGUCUUUUGUUCUACGUUUCCUUAUGUUUGCGCCGGGUGAUCAAGUACUUUUUGUUUAGAUUCACGAUACCACGAAAAGUGGACCUAAAAAGCCGUAGAAAAAAAAAUGAGAAGGUGCAUAGUAUAAGUUCUUAGCGUUGCAUCAUCAAAAUUGUACUGACACACUCAAGAUAACUCUUUUCUUCGAGCUACCAUCGCCAGUAUCAUAAUUAGUUUCCACUUUAUCAUAACAAGUUCUUUUGUCGUUCUCGUGAGAUAGCGGAACCCAACCUAAAGUCGUAGGAACAAAAAGAUGACGCAAAGUGUACCGAGUCGUAGAGUUAUGCCAAAAAGUAUUUUUUUUCAAAGUUUCAUCGUCAAAAUUGUAAAUAGCAUAAACGGCCCCUAAAAAAGAAACCACGUAACACAAAUAGACAUGCGAGCAUUUUAAAAUGCGCAACAAGACUAGCGUGUCAUGUAAGGCAGGUUCUAUCCCAAUUAGUAGCACAAAAUUCAAAGGGGGAGAGAUGGUAGUGGUAGUUGUAGUAGCAGCAAUGGGUGGGUGUAUUUUUUUUUUGAGGGAACAAUGGAUGGAUGGAUUACCCAAAGCCGAAACAGAAAGGAUGGAUCCCAGAUCUGGUGCGGUUAAAAUCCAUGCGGCGGGUAGAAAGAUCGUCUAUAUCUGUUGGUAAAAAAAUUAAAAAGUAAGAAAAAUAAUACGGUGGUACGCUCGUCCCCUCCGGUCAGUCGUCCAAUCCAACCAGCAGUGCGGAGGAAGGGGAAGAGCUGAGGGAGCAGGGAGGAGGGGGGAGGAUGGCCAAGCCAGCCAAGGGGAAGGAAGGGAAGCCCUGCGCCGAGUCAAUUGGGUAUAUAAACCCACCAUCGCCUCCCUCCUCUCCCCUCUUUUGCAUGCCUCACCGGCCUCCUCCCCUCCCCUCCGCCCCAUCCGCCUCCCAAUGCACCACUGCUAACCCCUGCUCCCGAUCCCCGUUCCCGAUCCGCGGAUUCCCCGCCGACCCCGCCCGCCCCCGCCCCCUCCUCUUGCAAUCUCCGAUCGGAUUCUCUCUUCUCUUCUUCUCCUCCGCCUCCGCCUCCUCUCCGUUCUGGUUCCGUCGGGCGUUUGGUGUUUGAUCUGGCGAUGAAGGGCCCGGCGGCGGCGGCGCAGGCGGCGGCGGACGAGCGCCCCGAGGAGAAAGAGAUGGACUUGCUCCUCAGCGAGAUCCCCCAGGUCACCUCCCCGCAGGCGCACCGGGCCGGCGGCGGCGGCGCGCUCUCCCAGGGCCAUGGCGGCGGCGACCGCCGUCACGGGUUCGCGCCGCCGCGCUACGCCGCGUCGCCCCGCCGCGCCGACAACGCCUGCUACGCCGUCGUCGUCAACCGCCGCGACGACGGUGAUCACCAGGGCGGCGGGGGCGGGGGCGCGUACCACCCGCCGCUCCGCGUGUGCCCGGCGCCCCUGCAUCCGUCGAGCCCCUUCGUCGCCGCCGCGCCGUCCCCGCUCGGGCAGCCCGUAGACGACCCGGAGAAGCAGUGGCUGGCCAACCAGCUCCGCGGCCUGCUCGUCGAGGACGCGCCCGCCGCGCCCCAGCCCACGCCCGUCGGCAACGGCGCCCCGGCGGACUUCUCUGCGGCGCGUGGCGCCGCCUACUAUGGCUACCCCUUUGGGGCGCCGGGCUCCUCGGUUCCUGGCGAGCCCCUGGUGAACGAGCAGGCCAUGGCGGCCGGCUACCGCUUCGCGCUCGGACCGGACGUCGGCCUGGGCGGCCACCCCGGCGGCCUGGAGGUCAACAUGAACGGCUUCAUGUACAAUAGGACAGCAAACGGCACCGGCAUUGGUUGGGGACAGGGCCUGGUGCACCCUGCUCAUGCUCACCCCGAGCCUUUCAUGCUUCAUGGGCAGGCUGCCGCAGAACAGCACAACUGGGGGUUUGUUGGGACUGGCCCGAUUGCCCUUGAUCCCCGUGGUGGAGCAGCCCGUUCACCCAAACUGCACUGCGAGUACGGCGUGCCUGUGCAUACCGGCAAUCGCUACAUGAAAGGCGGCAUGAAUAAUCAGAUGGAGGCGUUUCGCUGCGAGGAUGGUCAGAAUUUCGAUGGCAAGAAGAACAUGCCUGUUCUCUACCGUGCCAAGGACAGGAGGUUUCAGCAGCAUGCCAACAACAACAGGGCACUGGAGAUGGAGAGUCCUAGGAUGCUGAGGUAUGAGAACAUGGUUGGAGUUAAGGGGUACAUCUACUUCAUGGCCAAGGACCAGAAUGGCUGCCGGUUCCUGCAGCAGAAGUUUGAGGAAGGGAAACAACACGUGGAUGUGAUUUUCGAAGGAAUCAUUGACCACAUGGCAGAGCUCAUGAUCAACUCGUUUGCCAACUAUCUCAUUCAGAAGCUUCUGAAUGUGUGUGAUGAGGAUCAGAGGCUGAGGAUCAUCGCCGUGCUGACGGAGGAUCCUGUGAAGCUGCUGAGAAUCUCUGUGAACUCUCAUGGGUAAUUUACCUUCUCUUGCCUAAACUGAUCAAUUAACUGCACCAUGAUCCUGAAAUUAGAAGUAAUUUUACUUGCUAACCAAUUGUCACAAAUUAUUACUGUAUUUUGAGAUUGCUGCAAUUUGUGUUUGGAUAAGGAAGUGCACUGGCAGUAGAAGUGUGAAAUGAUGCUUACAUUGCAACAUAAACCCCUUUUGUUACUAAAUGCAUGCAAAUGAUUGGUGAUGAUUUGGUUGUUGUGAUUUGUUUCAGCACAAGGGCAGUUCAGAAAUUGAUAGAGACUGUUAAGGUCAGGAAGCAGAUCGUGCUCAUUAUUUCGGCCCUACAGCCAGGCUUCAUGCAUCUUGUCAAUGAUCUCAAUGGUAAUCAUGUCAUACAGAAGUGCUUGUCAAACUUUGGUGCAGAGGAGAACAAGGUACAUAAUAGUACUUACAUAGCUAUUUUUGGCCAUAUAACUGACUUUGAGCAAUUAUUAGUUAUCAUUUUUUUGACAAAUACACUCCAUAAGUUUGAGAAUCAGCACCAUGACAAUGAAUUUAUCAGCUAUGUUCUGUGGACCUACCAUGCAACCUGCACAAUCUAGUGCAAAUUAAAUAUUGAAGUACUUGAACCUACACAUGUGCAUAAACUCAUAAGAAGUAUGUUGGCUUGAAUUUAUAACACGUUGUUCCGUGUUUACUUACAUUAUGUAAAUUUGCCGGCAGAUGAACAAAAACUAUACCUGUACAUCAGUAUGUGCAUAAUCUUAGAAGUUUAUCUUUGAAAGAGUUUCAUUAGCAGUUUAUAUGCGCUAGCCAAUAUUCAGGAGACUGUGUUUGCUGAUUGUUAUCUUAAUUCCAUAAGCAUCACUGUAUAUACAAAAGGUACCUAGGACUUUGAGGUAGGUAGUACUAGGUCUUAUUUUUAUGUAUCUGUGAUACUUGGGAUCUGGACGGCUAGGGAUAACUAAAAAAUGACCUGAAUUUAAGUUAACAGAUCGGGACAUUAAAAAAAUUCACGUCCUAAAAUAAUCCAAAACCUAAUUGUGGUUAUGCUUAACUAAAUUACUAGUGUUUAGGUUCUCCAGUGGACUAAUUUCUAGCAUAAUCAUCCUAACGAUGUUGGUUUGGUGUGACCCUUGAGCCCCCCCUCCCCCCCUUGUACUUGACUUUGAUUAUUAUAUCAUGUGCAUUCCUUUAUUCUUCUGUUGUCUUUUACAUAUUUCUGAACGUACCUUGUGUUUAAGUUACCAGAUCUUAUUUGUAUGUAUGUGUUAUACUUGGGGUCUGGACGACUAGGGAGACCUAAAAUAUGACCUGAAUUUUUACCAGAUCGGGACAUUAAAAAAAUCACGUCCUAAAAUAAUCCAAAACCUAAUUGUGGUUAUGCUUAACUAAAUUACGAGUGUUUAGGUUCUCAGUGGACUAAUUUAUUGCAUAAUCAUCUUAACGAUGUUGGUUUGGUGUGACCCUUUGAGUCCCCCCCUCUCCUUGUACUCGACUAUGAUUAUUAUAUCAUGCAUCCCUUUAUUCUUCUAUUGUCUUCUACAUAUUUCUGAACGUACCUUGUGUUGGAGAAUAACCCGCAAGACUAAUAUCAGCAGGAAUAUUUGAUUGAUGCUAAGUUUUCUUUUAACAUGGGAAUAUCUCGAUCGUGAAGUUAAUGUACCAGACCUUAUACAAGUAUAUUCUGCACUUACAUUAUCCAAUGGCAAAUGCCAACGUAUAGAAAUUUAUUUAUGGAGCAAGUAUGAUCGCCUUACAAACUGUCAAUAACUCAAUGUCAUUUUGAACGUCAUAUCUAGUGGUGAGCAUGUUGGGUAAAUUAGUAGUGUGUUAUGGAAUUCUUAUGCAAGUGUAUGAAGCUAUGCAGUUAUCUUGCUUGAUUUGAUUAUAUCGUUAUCAUCUGUGAUGUAUUUAUUGAUUUAUUCUACUCUCUUUGGACAGUUCAUAUUUGAGGCUGCUGCAACUCACUGUUUUGAGAUGGCAAUGCAUCGCCAUGGCUGCUGUGUUUUACAAAAGUGCAUAACUAGUGCACGUGGUGAAUAUCAGGCGAAGCUAAUUGUGGAAGUGUGUGCUCAUGCCUUUCAGCUCGCUCAAGAUCCAUUUGGGUAAACCCACCCUUCCUCUUUAUUAUCUUGUACUUUAUGCUAUUUAUAAAGGAACAUUCUUGCACUAUGUCUUCCCAAUUCUUUUGUGAAGCAGUUUUACUUGUCUGCUUACUUGUAGAGAUCUUAUCAGUGACAUGUUAUCAACACUAGAUAUAUAGAUUCAUAUUACUGGUGGAUUUAAUUAAAGGGAAGAAUAUCCAGCUUAUACUGAUAAUACUUUUUUGAUAUUGUUGCUCGUUGCUCGCAUUAUAUCAUUAACUGAUCUUUUGCUGGAGUAAGAGUUAUCUUCACCUCCCUUCUCAGAAGAACCAUAUCUUCACACCAUCAGCUUGAUUAGCCCCUUGACCUUAAAAAUCUUAUUUUCCCAUAGUUUCUGUUGCUCUAGAUUCAACUCAUUUUCAGGCGAUAACAUGUAACAGUAAUUAGUCUUCACGGUCUGUGCAUUUCACAGACAAUACAAUAAGGGUGCUGAUAAUGGAAUGAACUGUGCCCUGAUUACAUGAACCCAACCUUUGUUGUAAUACCUUCAAUUCUUUUUUUCUUGCUCCCUUGUAUAAUCUGGGAGUUAGACAUCCCCAACCAGAUUUAUCUUUUGGCAAGUAGUGAAUGUAUCUCCAUCAUGUGUUUCGUUUCUCUGUCAUGAGAUUAACUUGGUAUUUUUCAAGCAUGUGUUUGGCAACAUGUAAACUAUAUUAACUCUGAUAAAACUAAAGUUGUUUCCUAUUUCCCCUUGUUUCAGCAAUUAUGUGGUACAGUAUGUCCUGGACCAGAAAAUUCCUUCUGCAAAUGCACACCUGGCAUCUCAGUUUGAAGGAAGUUAUGUUUAUCUCUCAAAGCAAAAAGUGAGCAGCAAUGUGGUGGAGAAAUGCCUGAAGGUCUUCUCAGAUGAAGACAAAGCUGCCAUAGUGUUUGACCUGAUUUCAGUGCCUCAUUUUGAACAACUGCUGCAAGACCCUUUUGCGAACUAUGUCAUUCAUACUGCCCUUGUUAACAGCAGGGUGAGUGUUUCGAUCCAUAUGAUUUUUCAAAGUACGUCAAAUUACAGCAUGCAUAUUGCUCACUAUCGUUUUUCCUUGACAGGGCCAUCUCCAUAAUGCGCUGGUUGAAGCAAUCCGCCCUCAUGAAGAAGCCCUUCGGACCAGUCCCUGUUGUAAGAGAAUCUCUAGAGCCAUCUCUAGGAGGUGAAAGGUGUACAAUCUGCAGCGCCAAAGAAAUCUGUAUUGUUGUCAAUUUAUGUUUCACUAGCUGUUUACUAUGAUGUAUCUGCACACGGUCUUCUGAGUUCAGAAGGGUGGUUUUUGGCUGCAAGAAAGGUUCGACACAUCGUCAACUUCUGUAGAAUUUACCAGGUGUUGCCAUCCGAGAUGUACGUUUUGCUGGGCGCCUAUUCCGAUGGUGAUGGUGUAGAGUUGUAAAGAAAAAACGUGUGCUUUCCGAGUUGUCUAUUUUGUAUCUGCUGUAUCGUUUUCCUUUGGAUUGUUGGACGGAGAAUAAUUAGUAAUGGUGGACAAGUUGCUAUAGUUGCUAUAUAUUUUGGUCACUCCAACUUGCUUGAACUCUUCUCUCCAGUUUUGGUAAUGAAAUAAUAGCUCAUCAUGAUCAUGUCUGUGGUAUUACAGAAAAUAUAUUGUAGUGCUCACCUGUUUUGCCUGUUACAGAAGGUAUAUAUGGCGGGCGUUUCAUUCAGUACAGUCGAUAUACUGUUGGACCAAAGCUGAUUGAUUAUAUGAG
This 17811-nucleotide long non-coding RNA is filed under the name Triticum aestivum (bread wheat). Its description in RNAcentral is "long non-coding RNA (TAES_LNC002356)". The stretch from base 5138 to 5210 matches the Rfam family "tRNA". The record is from RNAcentral. Lineage: Eukaryota; Viridiplantae; Streptophyta; Magnoliopsida; Poales; Poaceae.